UACGUAGGGCGCAAGCGGUUAUCCGGAAUUAUUGGGCGUAAAGAGCUCGUAGGCGGUUUGUCGCGUCUGCCGUGAAAGUCCGGGGCUCAACUCCGGAUCUGCGGUGGGUACGGGCAGACUAGAGUGAUGUAGGGGAGACUGGAAUUCCUGGUGGUAAGCGGUGAAAUGCGCAGAUAUCAGGAGGAACACCGAUGGCGAAGGCAGGUCUCUGGGCAUUAACUGACGCUGGGGGAGCGAAAGCAUGGGGGAGCGAACAGG
Molecule: ribosomal RNA, 258 nt
Filed under: uncultured bacterium
Lineage: Bacteria
Description: partial 16S ribosomal RNA
Rfam family: Bacterial small subunit ribosomal RNA
Source: RNAcentral